This 406-nucleotide ribosomal RNA is filed under the name uncultured bacterium. RNAcentral's name for it is "partial 16S ribosomal RNA". It matches the Rfam family "Bacterial small subunit ribosomal RNA", at positions 30 to 527 of the family's 1533-position model. The record is from RNAcentral.
AUUGAACGCUGGCGGCAGGCCUAACACAUGCAAGUCGAACGAGUGGCGGACGGGUGAGUAAUGUCUGGGAAACUGCCCGAUGGAGGGGGAUAACUACUGGAAACGGUAGCUAAUACCGCAUACCAUCGGAUGUGCCCAGAUGGGAUUUGCUUGUGGGUGGGGUAACGGCUUACCUAGGCGACGAUCCCUAGCGGGUCUGAGAGGAGGACCAGCCACACUGGAACUGAGACACGGUCCAGACUCCUACGGGAGGCAGCAGUGGGGAAUAUUGGACAAUGGGCGCAAGCCUGAUGCAGCCAUGCCGCGUGUAUGAAGAAGGCCUUCGGGUUGUAAAGUACUUUCAGCGAGGAGGCGUUACUCGCAGAAGAAGCACCGGCUAACUCCGUGCCAGCAGCCGCGGUAAUUG